GCACCCGUGGCUCAAUUGGAUAGAGUUCCUGACUACGAAUCAGGCGGUUACAGGUUCGAAUCCUGUCGGGUGUACCA
Molecule: transfer RNA, 77 nt
Filed under: Fidelibacterota bacterium
Lineage: Bacteria; Pseudomonadati; Fidelibacterota
Description: tRNA-Arg
Rfam family: tRNA
About the family: Transfer RNA (tRNA) molecules are approximately 80 nucleotides in length. Their secondary structure includes four short double-helical elements and three loops (D, anti-codon, and T loops). Further hydrogen bonds mediate the characteristic L-shaped molecular structure. tRNAs have two regions of fundamental functional importance: the anti-codon, which is responsible for specific mRNA codon recognition, and the 3' end, to which the tRNAs corresponding amino acid is attached (by aminoacyl-tRNA synthetases). tRNAs cope with the degeneracy of the genetic code in two manners: having more than one tRNA (with a specific anti-codon) for a particular amino acid; and 'wobble' base-pairing, i.e. permitting non-standard base-pairing at the 3rd anti-codon position.
Source: RNAcentral